This 250-nucleotide ribosomal RNA is filed under the name uncultured bacterium. RNAcentral's name for it is "partial 16S ribosomal RNA". It matches the Rfam family "Bacterial small subunit ribosomal RNA", at positions 525 to 774 of the family's 1533-position model. The record is from RNAcentral.
ACGAAGGGGGCUAGCGUUGUUCGGAAUUACUGGGCGUAAAGCGCACGCAGGCGGUCUGCAAAGUCAGAAGUGAAAGCCCUGGGCUCAACCCGGGAACUGCUUUUGAUACUGGCAGGCUAGAAUCCGAGAGAGGGUAGUGGAAUUCCCAGUGUAGAGGUGAAAUUCGUAGAUAUUGGGAAGAACACCAGUGGCGAAGGCGACUACCUGGCUCGGUAUUGACGCUCAUGUGCGAAAGCGUGGGGAGCAAACA